This 290-nucleotide unclassified non-coding RNA is filed under the name Hevea brasiliensis (rubber tree). Lineage: Eukaryota; Viridiplantae; Streptophyta; Magnoliopsida; Malpighiales; Euphorbiaceae. The record is from RNAcentral.
GGUGAGGUGUUGAAUGGAGACCGUCUAGUCAGUGCUCCGUACAAACUAAACUUCAGAGAUGAGAAAACCUCCUCAGUUGUUUGUAAGAAGACACUUACAAAGGAGGAAGUUGCAAGGUUCAGAUCUGCAAUUGACAAAGGCUAUUACUUCCAAAUGUACUAUGAUGAUCUGCCCAUCUGGGGCUUCAUAGGAAAAGUUGACAAGGAAGGCAAGACUGACCCAAGCGAGUACAGAUACUUCCUUUACAAGCAUAUCCAGUUCGAUGUUCUUUACAAUAAGGACCGUGUGAU